RNAcentral lists this ribosomal RNA (468 nucleotides) under uncultured bacterium. RNAcentral describes it as "partial 16S ribosomal RNA". It matches the Rfam family "Bacterial small subunit ribosomal RNA", at positions 28 to 507 of the family's 1533-position model. The record is from RNAcentral.
GACGAACGCUGGCGGCGUGCUUAACACAUGCAAGUCGAACGGAAAGGCCCUGCUUUUGUGGGGUGCUCGAGUGGCGAACGGGUGAGUAACACGUGAGUAACCUGCCCUUGACUUUGGGAUAACUUCAGGAAACUGGGGCUAAUACCGGAUAGGAGCUCCUGCUGCAUGGUGGGGGUUGGAAAGUUUCGGCGGUUGGGGAUGGACUCGCGGCUUAUCAGCUUGUUGGUGGGGUAGUGGCUUACCAAGGCUUUGACGGGUAGCCGGCCUGAGAGGGUGACCGGCCACAUUGGGACUGAGAUACGGCCCAGACUCCUACGGGAGGCAGCAGUGGGGAAUAUUGCACAAUGGGCGGAAGCCUGAUGCAGAAACGCCGCGUGCGGGAUGACGGCCUUCGGGUUGUAAACCGCUUUCGCCUGUGACGAAGCGUGAGUGACGGUAAUGGGUAAAGAAGCACCGGCUAACUACGUG